RNAcentral lists this ribosomal RNA (500 nucleotides) under uncultured bacterium. Its description in RNAcentral is "partial 16S ribosomal RNA". It matches the Rfam family "Bacterial small subunit ribosomal RNA", at positions 30 to 523 of the family's 1533-position model. The record is from RNAcentral.
AUUGAACGCUGGCGGAAUGCUUUACACAUGCAAGUCGAACGGCAGCACGGACUUCGGUCUGGUGGCGAGUGGCGAACGGGUGAGUAACAUAUCGGAACGUAUCCAAUAAUGGGGGAUAACGAGUCGAAAGAUUCGCUAAUACCGCAUACGCCCUACGGGGGAAAGCUGGGGACCUUCGGGCCUGGCGUUAAUGGAGCGGCCGAUAUCUGAUUAGAUAGUUGGUGAGGUAAAGGCCCACCAAGGCGACGAUCAGUAGCUGGUCUGAGAGGACGACCAGCCACACUGGAACUGAGACACGGUCCAGACUCCUACGGGAGGCAGCAGUGGGGAAUUUUGGACAAUGGGCGCGAGCCUGAUCCAGCCAUUCCGCGUGAGUGAAGAAGGCCUUCGGGUUGUAAAGCUCUUUCGCAAGGGAAGAAAACUUAGCCACUAACAUUGGUUGAGGUUGACGGUACCUUGAUAAGAAGCACCGGCUAACUACGUGCCAGCCGCCGCCGUAA